This 253-nucleotide ribosomal RNA is filed under the name uncultured bacterium. Its description in RNAcentral is "partial 16S ribosomal RNA". It matches the Rfam family "Bacterial small subunit ribosomal RNA", at positions 524 to 776 of the family's 1533-position model. The record is from RNAcentral.
UACAGAGGUCCCAAGCGUUGUUCGGAUUCACUGGGCGUAAAGGGUGCGUAGGCGGUCGGGUAAGUCUGUCGUGAAAUCUCCGAGCCCAACUCGGAAACUGCGUCGGAUACUAUUCGGCUAGAGGAAUGGAGGGGAGACUGGAAUUCUCGGUGUAGCAGUGAAAUGCGUAGAUAUCGAGAGGAACACCAGUGGCGAAGGCGAGUCCCUGGACAACUACUGACACUGAGGCACGAAAGCUAGGGGAGCAAACAGG